This 254-nucleotide ribosomal RNA is filed under the name uncultured prokaryote. Its description in RNAcentral is "partial 16S ribosomal RNA". It matches the Rfam family "Bacterial small subunit ribosomal RNA", at positions 522 to 775 of the family's 1533-position model. The record is from RNAcentral.
AAUACGAAGGGGGCUAGCGUUGUUCGGAAUUACUGGGCGUAAAGCGCACGUAGGCGGAUCGAUCAGUCAGGGGUGAAAUCCCAGAGCUCAACUCUGGAACUGCCUUUGAUACUGUCGAUCUAGAGUAUGGAAGAGGUGAGUGGAAUUCCGAGUGUAGAGGUGAAAUUCGUAGAUAUUCGGAGGAACACCAGUGGCGAAGGCGGCUCACUGGUCCAUUACUGACGCUGAGGUGCGAAAGCGUGGGGAGCAACCAG